AGGAGACCCCAUACUAUGCUGUAGUCCAGGCCAAGGAAUCCAUCUGAAGCUAAGCAGCUUUGGGCCUGGCCAGUACUUGGUUGGGAGGAAUGCUGGGUUGCUGCUG
RNAcentral lists this ribosomal RNA (106 nucleotides) under Paramormyrops kingsleyae. Lineage: Eukaryota; Metazoa; Chordata; Actinopteri; Osteoglossiformes; Mormyridae. The record is from RNAcentral.